CCCGGGUCUUGUACACACCGCCCGUCAAGCCACCUGAGUUGGAGUACCCGAAAUCGACGAUCUAACCCGCAAGGGAGGAAGUCGCUUAAGGUAAGACCAGUGAGGAGGGCU
Molecule: ribosomal RNA, 111 nt
Filed under: uncultured bacterium
Lineage: Bacteria
Description: partial 16S ribosomal RNA
Rfam family: Bacterial small subunit ribosomal RNA
Source: RNAcentral